AGAGUUUGAUCCUGGCUCAGGACGAACGCUGACGGUGUGCUUCACACAUGCAAGUCGAACGGAGUAGCAAUACUCAGUGGCGGACGGGUGAGUAACACGUGGGAAUCUACCAUUAGGUGGGGAAUAACAGGCCGAAAGGACUGCUAAUGCCGCAUAUGUAGGCAUCUCGACAGAGAUGUUUAUGAAAGGAGUAAUCCGCCUUUUGAUGAGCCCGCGUCCGAUUAGCUAGUUGGUAGGGUAAAAGCCUACCAAGGCGACGAUCGGUAGGUGGUCUGAGAGGAUGAUCACCCACAAUGGGACUGAGACACGGCCCAUACUCCUACGGGAGGCAGCAGUGGGGAAUUUUACGCAAUGGGGGAAACCCUGACGUAGCGACACCGCGUGAGCGAAGAAGCCCUUUGGGGUGUAAAGCUCUGUCAACAGGAACGAAACAAAUGACGGUACCUGUGGAGGAAGCAUCGGCUAACUACGUGCCAGCAGCCGCGGUAAGACGUAGGAUGCAAGCGUUGUCCGGAUUUAUUGGGCGUAAAGAGUUCGUAGGCGGUUUGUUAAGUCUGAUGUUAAAGACCGGGGCUCAACCUCGGAAAUGCAUUGGAUACUGGCAGACUGGAGUGCAGUAGAGGCUAGUGGAAUUCCCAGUGUAGCGGUGAAAUGCGUAGA
RNAcentral lists this ribosomal RNA (660 nucleotides) under uncultured bacterium. RNAcentral's name for it is "bacterial SSU rRNA". It matches the Rfam family "Bacterial small subunit ribosomal RNA", at positions 8 to 694 of the family's 1533-position model. The record is from RNAcentral.